UACGGGGGGGGCAUGCGUUGUUCGGAAUUACUGGGCGUAAAGGGCUCGUAGGUGGCCAACUAAGUCAGACGUGAAAUCCCUCAGCUUAACUGGGGAACUGCGUCUGAUACUGGAUGGCUUGAGUUUGGGAGAGGGAUGCGGAAUUCCAGGUGUAGCGGUGAAAUGCGUAGAUAUCUGGAGGAACACCGGUGGCGAAGGCGGCAUCCUGGACCAAUACUGACACUGAGGAGCGAAAGCCAGGGGAGCAAACGGG
Molecule: ribosomal RNA, 253 nt
Filed under: uncultured bacterium
Lineage: Bacteria
Description: partial 16S ribosomal RNA
Rfam family: Bacterial small subunit ribosomal RNA
Source: RNAcentral